AGCGGAGAAGGAUGAGAAGCUUCGACUAAGGUUCGACUCGAGCGCCAGCGAGAGAGCGUUGCCGCAGGCAACGACCUGAAGGGCGAAGCGCGCAGCGCUGAGUAAUCCUUCCCCCACCACCA
RNAcentral lists this small RNA (122 nucleotides) under Escherichia coli O157:H7. RNAcentral's name for it is "partial RtT sRNA". It matches the Rfam family "RtT RNA". From Rfam's summary of the family: This family represents a bacterial cis-regulatory element known as RtT RNA. The exact function of RtT is unknown although it is thought that it may be involved in changing the cellular response in relation to amino acid starvation. The record is from RNAcentral. Lineage: Bacteria; Pseudomonadati; Pseudomonadota; Gammaproteobacteria; Enterobacterales; Enterobacteriaceae.